This 492-nucleotide ribosomal RNA is filed under the name uncultured bacterium. RNAcentral's name for it is "partial 16S ribosomal RNA". It matches the Rfam family "Bacterial small subunit ribosomal RNA", at positions 28 to 507 of the family's 1533-position model. The record is from RNAcentral.
GGUGAACGCUGGCGGCGUGCCUAAUACAUGCAAGUCGAACGGAAAGACAAUGAGCGUUUGCUUUUAACGGUGGCGGGUGGCGGGCGGGUGAGGAGUGCAUAGGAAUCUUAUUUUUCGUGGAGGAUUUCGUGGAACAGCUUAUGAUAAUAGAGAAUACGUCCUACGGGUGGGAGCAGGGGAGAUUGAGGGCUUGCGCGACAGAUUGAGACGAUGUCGGAUUAGAUAGUUGGAAGGGUAAGGGCACACCAAGGCGACGAAACGUAGCUGGACUGAGAGGGUGAUCAGCCACACUGGAACUGAGACACGGUCCAGACUCCUACGGGAGGCAGCAGUGGGGAAUAUUAGACAAUGGGCGCAAGCCUGACCCAGCCAUACCGCGUGGGUGAUGAAGGCCUUCGGAUUGUAAAGCCCUUUUGUUAGGAAAGAACAGCUGCAUAUGAAAACCCCGCCGUUCUGACGGUACCCAAAGAAUAAGCACCGGCUAACUUCGUG